This 117-nucleotide non-coding RNA is filed under the name Chlorocebus sabaeus (green monkey). The record is from Rfam by way of RNAcentral. Lineage: Eukaryota; Metazoa; Chordata; Mammalia; Primates; Cercopithecidae.
GCCGGGCGUGGUGGCUCACGCCUGUAAUCCCAGCACUUUGGGAGGCCGAGGCAGGCGGAUCACCUGAGGUCGGGAGUUUGAGACCAGCCUGACCAACAUGGUGAAACCCUGUCUCUA